This 3096-nucleotide long non-coding RNA is filed under the name Cricetulus griseus (Chinese hamster). Its description in RNAcentral is "lncRNA (ENSCGRG00015031914.1)". Lineage: Eukaryota; Metazoa; Chordata; Mammalia; Rodentia; Cricetidae. The record is from RNAcentral.
CCCUGGCCCCGCCCCUCGAGGCCCCCUCAGGGCUGCGAGCCCGGUGUCUGUGCGGUGGGGGCGCCUGCGUGCCCUGCAGGGCUGAGGGCCUGUUGCGGGGCGGCUGCCUGGCGCCUCUGCAAGGUCUUCCUCCCUCCCUGCAGCUCCGAUCCGCUGCCGGGGAGGGAAACGACCCCGACAGAAACCCGAUUGGAAGCGGGAAGGUUACGCCUCGGAAACAUCUGCCUCCCCCAGCUCGACCAUGCUUCCCCCACCCAGUGAGGCUGAGCUGCGGCUUUCAGUCUGAGCCCCUGCGGCCCGCAGAGGCUGCUGCUGGGCUGGGCCCGGGCGGCACUAGGCUCGCACCUCGGCCCGUCCCCCACAGGAGGGGCCUCGGUUUUCUUCUCUGCACGUUUGCGUUUGGGGGAGCCUCCUGCCUCCACUCACUGCCACGGAGGGACUGGGCCAGGCCCUUGAUUCAUUUGGACCGGUCCAAAGUCUGCACUCCUACUUUGGCCCCUUGCCUCUCAGACCUUCUGAGAGCUGACCCCUUGGGAGAUGAAAGUCUAGGCUCUGCCAGCAGCCUUCAAAAUCAGUCCGAGGCCAGGCAAACUUUGCAGCACUCGUUUGCAGAGCUGGGGAUCCCUCCACAGGUGACACUGGUCUGCCACCCCCGCCUCCCAGACUGUUUCUCUCUCCAGCCUAUUCUCGAAAUAGCCCUCCAGGCACACGCUCUCCUCCGCCACCCACGACUUGCACACCCCUCCGAGCACACAGGCACGCACGAAUUCACCCUCAAGCACACUUCUCCCAGCGCCAUUCUGGUGAUUCCUGGUCCCUGGGGUUAACCCCACCCCGACACACACAGCAAACUUCAUCCUCCACCCUUAUCUCCCGUCCUUUUCAAGGCACUGGCGACAGGCCACUGCAUUUCCUUCCUCGUCUGCAGCCUCUCUUCCCCCUCAAAUACUUCACGUCAGCCCCCUCAUCUUCAUCCUCUCUUCCUCUAAAAAACGUGUUAAUUAAAAUGUAGUUUCCUCUGCCCACAUAUGAAGUGUGGCAAACGAAUCGCAUUCUUGGCACACACUGCAAUUCAUUUAUCCUCCUUUUCUCUCUCCACUGGACUAAAGCUAUAGAAAUUUUAGUCUGCCACUAUCUCCCAUUUUUCUUAAAAAAAAAAUUAUCCUGACCAUGCCUUAUUAUUUUUAAAUACUCCUCAACAUUCGUGGGGAAGUCUUGCUAAGGCUUAAGGAAAAAAAGAUAUUUAGGAAACGCUCAGCCCGUCAUUUUAUUUGCCAUUUUAAAAUAUCUGCAGUGUUUGAGAGAGAGAUUGGGAGUGGCUGUGUUUUCUUCAUUUAAAAAGAAAAAAAUGCUUUGCAUGCAUCAAGGCUAGCCUUUUUAUGCAUACCCCCCCCAAAAAAAGUACUGUAGGAGCAUGUAUCAUUUAAUAGCCUGUACUGCACAGGACGUGUGCCAGACAGAACUGUAGACCCCAGCCCACCUCCAAAGGACGACAGAUUCACAUAACGUUUUCAGCAUGGCUGAUGAAGAGCGCAUUCCACGACCAUUCCCUUUCCCACGGUUCCUAAACAAAACGGAUGUGGGAAACAAGGAAAUCCAGAGAAGCAAAAUCGGGACAAUUUAGGAAGAGAGCUGGUGUUAAAGCUGAGGGCCCAUUCUCCACACAGAAGCAAGAUCCAUAACCCUGCCCUUAAUCUAGCCAAAAUGUCCGGAAGCACUACACAUACACUCCUGAGUCUUCCUUGACUGACAGCCUAAGUUGCCCGCUUCCAGUACUUUCUAUGAGUCUACUCACUUCCCAAGAUGGUCCUGCGAGACCAGAGUGGGGUCUUUUAGAAGAGGCUGACAUAUAAAGAAAAUUGGCUGCCUAACCGCUAGAAUAGUCAAGAUGUCCUUGUGUAUAAAGGAGCGGUUGCUGUUUGUGAAAGCAAAACAUAACAACAAUAUCCAGAUACAAAACAAGAUGGAUUCUGCACGUCCAGUUGUCUUGUUUAAGAUGCAAGCAGUAGGAGAUUGUCAUUUUCACCAUUGAAAUGUGGAGCACUGUUUUGAACCUUUGUGGGGGACUUACCAUGGGUGGGAGCUAUUGCAAUCUAUUUUAUUACUCAUUUAACCCUUAGCUCGCCAUCUGCAUCACCCUACUAUGCCCACUUAACAACACUGCAAUGGAGGCAUAGAGUGAUUUGCAUGAGAUCAAAGGGGAAGUCAGGGAAUAGCAGAUGUUGGAUUUUGAAUUCCUGAAACACAGUGGCCCCAGAACCCUGCAUUUCAACCCCUUUCAUUCCACCUUCUAACACUCUUUGGCAGUUGGGUGAGUCAGAUCCUGGCCCGUCCGUCUACCCAUGCUCAAGGUUCUCUCUGACUAUUUAAAGCUACAUUAAAAAAAAAAAAAAAAACUCCCUGAAGGAGGUAGUCAAAAUAAAUAGAAUUUCUGAGAUUCAGGUGGCUUGGAUGUUAAUCAUUAACUUAGUGGUAAAGCUUUAACGGCAGCCUUUACAGCAAUGUACUCACCAGGUUUUACAUUCAAUUCAACAGUAAAAAUUUAAGUAUCUAAUCUAAGUCAGACUCCAGACACAAGCCAAGGCCCUCAGUUUUCACAUUUGGUUUGCCUUUUGUUACAAAGAUUUUGGGGUGGGGGAUAGGUUCGUUUUUUCCCCCCCAAAAGGUGGGUUCUUUUUUUUCUGAGAGGUGGUUUCAUUUCUCUCUCAGGGAGGUAACUCAGAGACCAGCUGGGCCUCUCGCCUGGCAGAAGUGUGGGGCACACUUCUGAGAGCAGGGCCUCCAACUCACAAGGUCACUUCUGCCACAGGGUGGGUCUUCUUAGCCAUUCUCCUUCAAGUCUACCCGUGUCACACCAUGCUGCAGCCUGGUGCUGGUUCCUUUUGUUUCUUUUUCUUUUCUUUUGCUUUUGUGUGUUUGUUUGUUUUUCAAGACAGGGCUUCUCUGCCUAGCCCUGGCUGUCCUGGAACUCACUAUGUAGACCAGGCUGGCCUAGAACUCAGAGAUCUGUCCCCUCUGCCUUCCAAGUGCUGGGAUUAAAGGCCUGAGCCACCACCAAUACCCCCCUCCAGGAGUCAAGGUCUUCUCUCCUUUUUC